GAUGAACGCUAGCGGCAGGCUUAACACAUGCAAGUCGAGGGGUAGAGGAAGCUUGCUUCCUUGAGACCGGCGCACGGGUGCGUAACGCGUAUACAAUCUACCUUUUACAGAGGGAUAGCCCCAGAGAAAUUUGGAUUAAUACCUCAUAGUAUUUUCGGAUCGCAUGAUUUGAUUAUUAAAGUUCCAACGGUAAAGAUGAGUAUGCGUCCCAUUAGCUAGAUGGUAAGGUAACGGCUUACCAUGGCAAUGAUGGGUAGGGGUCCUGAGAGGGAGAUCCCCCACACUGGUACUGAGACACGGACCAGACUCCUACGGGAGGCAGCAGUGAGGAAUAUUGGACAAUGGGCGCAAGCCUGAUCCAGCCAUGCCGCGUGCAGGAAUAAGGUCCUAUGGAUUGUAAACUGCUUUAUACAAGAAGAAACACUCCCUCGUGAGGGAACUUGACGGUACUGUAUGAA
This 458-nucleotide ribosomal RNA is filed under the name uncultured bacterium. RNAcentral's name for it is "bacterial SSU rRNA". It matches the Rfam family "Bacterial small subunit ribosomal RNA", at positions 28 to 487 of the family's 1533-position model. The record is from RNAcentral.